GCUUGCUACCAGGCGUCGAGCGGCGGACGGGUGAGUAAUACUUAGGAAUCUACCUAGUAGUGGGGGAUAGCACGGGGAAACUCGUAUUAAUACCGCAUACGACCUACGGGAGAAAGGGGGCAGUUUACUGCUCUCGCUAUUAGAUGAGCCUAAGUCGGAUUAGCUAGAUGGUGGGGUAAAGGCCUACCAUGGCGACGAUCUGUAGCUGGUCUGAGAGGAUGAUCAGCCACACCGGGACUGAGACACGGCCCGGACUCCUACGGGAGGCAGCAGUGGGGAAUAUUGGACAAUGGGGGAAACCCUGAUCCAGCCAUGCCGCGUGUGUGAAGAAGGCCUUUUGGUUGUAAAGCACUUUAAGCAGUGAAGAAGACUCUUCGGUUAAUACCCGGAGACGAUGACAUUAGCUGCAGAAUAAGCACCGGCUAACUCUGUGCCAGCAGCCGCGGUAAUACAGAGGGUGCAAGCGUUAAUCGGAAUUACUGGGCGUAAAGCGAGCGUAGGUGGCUUGAUAAGUCAGAUGUGAAAUCCCCGGGCUUAACCUGGGAACUGCAUCUGAAACUGUUAGGCUAGAGUAGGUGAGAGGGAAGUAGAAUUUCAGGUGUAGCGGUGAAAUGCGUAGAGAUCUGAAGGAAUACCGAUGGCGAAGGCAGCUUCCUGGCAUCAUACUGACACUGAGGCUCGAAAGCGUGGGUAGCAAACAGGAUUAGAUACCCUGGUAGUCCACGCCGUAAACGAUGUCUACUA
Molecule: ribosomal RNA, 744 nt
Filed under: Psychrobacter nivimaris
Lineage: Bacteria; Pseudomonadati; Pseudomonadota; Gammaproteobacteria; Moraxellales; Moraxellaceae
Description: bacterial SSU rRNA
Rfam family: Bacterial small subunit ribosomal RNA
Source: RNAcentral